UGGGGAAUAUUGGACAAUGGGCGAAAGCCUGAUCCAGCAAUGCCGCGUGAGUGAUGAAGGCCUUAGGGUUGUAAAGCUCUUUUACCCGGGAUGAUAAUGACAGUACCGGGAGAAUAAGCCCCGGCUAACUCCGUGCCAGCAGCCGCGGUAAUACGGAGGGGGCUAGCGUUGUUCGGAAUUACUGGGCGUAAAGCGCACGUAGGCGGCUGUUCAAGUCAGAGGUGAAAGCCUGGAGCUCAACUCCAGAACUGCCUUUGAAACUAGACAGCUAGAAUCAUGGAGAGGUGAGUGGAAUUCCGAGUGUAGAGGUGAAAUUCGUAGAUAUUCGGAAGAACACCAGUGGCGAAGGCGGCUCACUGGACAUGUAUUGACGCUGAGGUGCGAAAGCGUGGGGAGCAAACAG
RNAcentral lists this ribosomal RNA (403 nucleotides) under uncultured bacterium. RNAcentral describes it as "bacterial SSU rRNA". It matches the Rfam family "Bacterial small subunit ribosomal RNA", at positions 355 to 775 of the family's 1533-position model. The record is from RNAcentral.